RNAcentral lists this ribosomal RNA (253 nucleotides) under uncultured bacterium. Its description in RNAcentral is "partial 16S ribosomal RNA". It matches the Rfam family "Bacterial small subunit ribosomal RNA", at positions 524 to 776 of the family's 1533-position model. The record is from RNAcentral.
AACGUAGGUGGCGAGCGUUAUCCGGAUUUACUGGGCGUAAAGGGUGUGCAGGCGGGCUGUUAAGUGGUGUAUGAAAUAUCCCGGCUCAACCGGGAGAGGUUAUGCCAGACUGGCAGUCUAGAGAGCGAGAGAGGGACGUGGAAUUCCGGGUGUAGUGGUGAGAUGCGUAGAGAUCCGGAGGAACCCCAGAGGCGAAGGCGGCGUCCUGGCUCGCAUCUGACGCUCAGACACGACAGCAUGGGGAGCGAACGGG